RNAcentral lists this long non-coding RNA (522 nucleotides) under Oryza sativa aromatic subgroup. RNAcentral's name for it is "lncRNA OsARC_10g0002640". RNAcentral also lists the same sequence under 1 other name. Lineage: Eukaryota; Viridiplantae; Streptophyta; Magnoliopsida; Poales; Poaceae. The record is from RNAcentral.
AAGGUUUGGCGGCGGAGCAGGUCGCAGCAGGUUCGGCGGCGGAGCAGGUCUCGGCAGGGUUCGGCGACGGAGUAUGUCGUGGCAGGGUUCUUCGGUGGAGUAGGUCUCGGCGGGCUUCGGCGGCGAAGGCGAUGGCAGGCUCGAGCUCCAGUAGGAGCACAACACGGUCGGCGACGAAAAUAUCCAGGCAAGAAUGGUGGAUGCAAAUUAUGGCAGUGGUAUGAACCAGGGACAACGCCAUAUUUGAAGCAGGUUUUGAAUGAUUUAGUCAGCACUGUUUGUGAAGUGAAGACAGAGAACUCUAAAAUUAGAGCAUCCCUUGCCAACUCAAGAGCUGUGAUUGAUGGACUUGUCACUGAAUGCAAUGUCUAUGAAGCAAAGAGCAUGGGACAAAAAGAGGAAUGUGGCUCAUUUGCUGAAAUGGCAUGUAGAAUCAAGAUGUUAGAAGAGAGUAGACGAUUUAUGUUGUCAGUAAUUGUUGGUUUUGUAGUAGUCAUAUUUGCACUAUUGCUUCUUAGGUAG